This 46-nucleotide non-coding RNA is filed under the name Echinostoma caproni. Lineage: Eukaryota; Metazoa; Platyhelminthes; Trematoda; Plagiorchiida; Echinostomatidae. The record is from RNAcentral.
GCCCUGCUGAUGAGUGCCAAAACAGGACGAAACAGCUGUCCAGGGC